GCGGAACGGAAGAGGCGGCCCAUUGAUAUAACUGCCUAUUCUUGUCCGCAAAACGGACAAGAAUAGGACAGGUUAUAUUUUUUUGGGCCACCACGGAUCGGAGCAAUGGAUUAGGACAGCACAC
This is a long non-coding RNA of Bufo bufo (common toad), 124 nucleotides long. RefSeq lists it as uncharacterized. The transcript is spliced from 3 exons. The record is from RefSeq and is a predicted model, not a curated record. NCBI's taxonomy places the organism in Eukaryota, Metazoa, Chordata, Amphibia, Anura, Bufonidae.